Passer domesticus (house sparrow) is the source of this 1379-nucleotide long non-coding RNA. RefSeq lists it as uncharacterized. The record is from RefSeq and is a predicted model, not a curated record. The transcript has 2 exons. Lineage: Eukaryota; Metazoa; Chordata; Aves; Passeriformes; Passeridae.
AAUUUCAGUCAGUGCCACACAACUGAUCUGGCUGUCUUUAAAAGAUGGUGAUUGGAAUGUUCCCACAGUGGGUAUUAAGGGAUAGAAUCAUGGAACCAUUUAGGUCAUAGAAGAUCCUUAAGAUCACCAGGUCAUGUGUUCUGUAGGGUUACAGAUGAGUGAUUCUUGCAGAAACCUCAGAUACACACCUGAUCUACUCUCUAUCAGCCACAGCUGCCUCAGACACAAGUACAAACACUCCAGAUACCAGGAAUGUGGAUGCUUGUGAGAACUCAAAUUUAAUUUAUGGGAUCACAAGGGGGAUGUGUUUGGAGAACAAGAGAGUGUCUCCACAAGCAUUUUGGUUAUGAUGCCUUGAACUGCAGAGGGGUACAACACACUGCCACAGACACUGGAUUUGUUCUUCCCUGGAAACAGAGCCUGGUAUCAGUGGCUCUGUCCAAGGGACAGCAAAACCCUUAGCUGUUACCUGGUGGCUAAAGGAAUAGUGUCCAGAACACUGACCUCCCUCUGUACUAAAUACAGGGGGAUUCUCAUCGGCUGCUUUAACUUACACCCCUAAUGGCUGCACAAGUGUGAAGGAUCUCUUGACAGCAGCUUGACGGCAAAUCAGCUCAGCCAAGCUCUCCACUAGGAAACAGAAAUGACAGGAAACAGAGUGUGCAGCACAAUCAAUGUACACAGGCUCUCAAGAAGCCCAAGGUUUUGGCAGGAAGUCCAGUCACCUAUCAGUCCCACAGGUGAUGCAAAGAGUAGAUCUCGCUGCUACAAUCUCAGCAGCUGGGCUGUUCAAAGCUGUUCAAGCUGAGCAGCUGCUUAUCAAGAGUUAGCCUGCUUUUCAAAUUUCCCUUAGGCUUUACUAUAAAGCCCUAAAACCACAGACAGCUCAAAUAGUCAUGGAAAAGUUCAGCUUUCUCUUGAUCCUCUGUAGUGAACAGCAGAGGUCAAGAGAUUUCAUCCCAAAUUGAUCGGAGUCUGAAGUCACAGAAAAUCAAACGACUCUGGGACAAUUGUUUCAGCCAUACACAAUAAGCACUCCCAGUGUGAGGGUACCUUUUCUUACAGAAGAAUUAAUAUAUUAAGUUCAGCUGCAAGUUCAAACAACUAUUUGAAGGCUGAACACCACCUCUGGACACGGAAGGUACGAAGUUCUGACACUACAAAGUAGCCAGUGGAAAGAAACAAAUUAAUAUUAUUAAGGAGCUGGAGAAAGUUCAUACCCUAUUGCUGAAUUUCAAUGAGUUCAAAUACCCUACUGCUGAAUUUCACAGAGCUCAAAAUAAAUGAAAGCAGUUCCCACUUUGAAGACUGAAGAGACAAUGAAAAGGUGAAGAUGAUGACUUUCAAAUAAAAGGACUGGCUUCCAGACCAAUUCUAUA